Molecule: long non-coding RNA, 185 nt
Filed under: dengue virus type 1
Lineage: Riboviria; Orthornavirae; Kitrinoviricota; Flasuviricetes; Amarillovirales; Flaviviridae
Description: Dengue virus 1 partial sfRNA1
Source: RNAcentral
AAGAAGUCAGGCCGGAUUAAGCCAUAGUACGGUAAGAGCUAUGCUGCCUGUGAGCCCCGUCUAAGGACGUAAAAUGAAGUCAGGCCGAAAGCCACGGCUUGAGCAAACCGUGCUGCCUGUAGCUCCAUCGUGGGGAUGUAAAAACCUGGGAGGCUGCAACCCAUGGAAGCUGUACGCAUGGGGUA